GAAGGUAUAGCUCAGUGGGAGGGCACAUGCUUAGCAUGCAUGGGUCCUGGGGUCAAUCCGCAGUAUCUCUG
This 71-nucleotide transfer RNA is filed under the name Camelus bactrianus (Bactrian camel). It matches the Rfam family "tRNA". From Rfam's summary of the family: Transfer RNA (tRNA) molecules are approximately 80 nucleotides in length. Their secondary structure includes four short double-helical elements and three loops (D, anti-codon, and T loops). Further hydrogen bonds mediate the characteristic L-shaped molecular structure. tRNAs have two regions of fundamental functional importance: the anti-codon, which is responsible for specific mRNA codon recognition, and the 3' end, to which the tRNAs corresponding amino acid is attached (by aminoacyl-tRNA synthetases). tRNAs cope with the degeneracy of the genetic code in two manners: having more than one tRNA (with a specific anti-codon) for a particular amino acid; and 'wobble' base-pairing, i.e. permitting non-standard base-pairing at the 3rd anti-codon position. RNAcentral also lists the same sequence under 2 other names. The record is from Rfam by way of RNAcentral. Lineage: Eukaryota; Metazoa; Chordata; Mammalia; Artiodactyla; Camelidae.